Molecule: small nucleolar RNA, 117 nt
Filed under: Pterocles gutturalis (yellow-throated sandgrouse)
Lineage: Eukaryota; Metazoa; Chordata; Aves; Pterocliformes; Pteroclidae
Description: Small nucleolar RNA SNORA9
Rfam family: Small nucleolar RNA SNORA9
About the family: ACA9 is a member of the H/ACA class of snoRNA that guide the sites of modification of uridines to pseudouridines.
Source: Rfam by way of RNAcentral
CCGCAGGCCUCCAGCGUGGCGGCGCCAUUCCUACAGCACUUGCCAGAGCAGCCCCAGGACGGUUUGAGGCCUCUCCCCGCUCUCCCUGGGGGGUGGUUAUAGAAAUCCCGGACACCC